Molecule: small nuclear RNA, 107 nt
Organism: Jaculus jaculus (lesser Egyptian jerboa)
Lineage: Eukaryota; Metazoa; Chordata; Mammalia; Rodentia; Dipodidae
Source: RefSeq, a predicted model, not a curated record
GUGCUCGCUUCGGCAGCACAUAUACUAAAAUUGGAACGAUACAGAGAAGAUUAGCAUGGCCCCGGCACAAGGAUGACAUGCAAAUUCAUGAAGCACUCAAAACAAUA